GCGGCUGUGGAUCAGGUGGUAGAGCGGGUUGUCCUCUAAUCGUAGGGUUGGCGGUUCGAUUCCCGCGGGCCGCA
Molecule: non-coding RNA, 74 nt
Organism: Ameiurus melas (black bullhead)
Lineage: Eukaryota; Metazoa; Chordata; Actinopteri; Siluriformes; Ictaluridae
Source: the annotation of a GenBank genome assembly